UCUGCCUGGUAGUGGGGGACGAACGUUUCGAAAGGAACGCUAAUACCGCAUACGUCCUACGGAGAAGCAGGGACCUUCGGGCCUUGCGCUAUCAGAUGAGCCUAGGUCGGAUUAGCUAGUUGGUGAGGUAAUGGCUCACCAAGGCGACGAUCCGUAACUGGUCUGAGAGGAUGAUCAGUCACACUGGAACUGAGACACGGUCCAGACUCCUACGGGAGGAGCAGCC
RNAcentral lists this ribosomal RNA (226 nucleotides) under uncultured Pseudomonas sp. RNAcentral describes it as "partial 16S ribosomal RNA". It matches the Rfam family "Bacterial small subunit ribosomal RNA", at positions 125 to 348 of the family's 1533-position model. Lineage: Bacteria; Pseudomonadati; Pseudomonadota; Gammaproteobacteria; Pseudomonadales; Pseudomonadaceae. The record is from RNAcentral.